GAUGUUUUGAAAAUUAGUAGGAAAGGGCAACCAAGCCCUUGGUGACUUAAAGAGUAAGUAUAAUUAAAUGAGGGGUAUUGUGGUAAUUGAAUAAUAGUUGAUAAAUAUAAAUAGAAAGAAAAUAAAACAAAAGAACAAAAGAGGGAGCUGUGUUUUUUUGAGAGCAAACGUAAGAGAGGGAGAAGGAAGAAGAAGAAGAGAAAAGAGGGGAAAAGAAGGGAAAGGGAAGAGAUUGAGAAGAAAUAACUUUAAAGGUUCUCCUAACGAUCCUCAAUAGGAUUUUCGGGUCUUUCGUCUGACGUUCCUUUAGUUCUAUAUUUUCCGGGUGAGUGGGAUAAUCUUUAAUAUGCAUAUAAUAUAAGUAAAUAUGUAUGUUGAUUAUAUGAUGAGUACGAUUAGUUAAUCUCUUGAAUAUUUAUAUUUAUAUAUUUUGCUUUGUUUUUCGAGUACUCAUCUAUUCUUGAAAUUUGCACUCGCAUUUUAUCGAGCUAAAUUCUAUUUGAUAUGAUAUACGUUUCCUUGAUGAUUCUGUAAAUAUCUAUUAUGCCUUGAUAUAGGACUUGUCAGUAACUCCAUGCUAACGGAGAGUAGUUAGCCUAUGUGCACAUAGUAUUCUGUAUACCUAGCUGAUGAGAGAAGCAUCAGCCUGCGGCGACUGAUCAUCCCAUAGUGGUCACCUUCGGGUGUCAUCUGGUCACUUUUGAGUGUCAUCUGGUCACCCUCGGGUGUCAUCUGGUCACCUUCGGGUGUCAUCUGAUCUCUGACAUGUAUUCCACUACGUUAUGAUAAUAUGUUCAGUAUGUAUAUAAUAUGGUAUAUG
This is a long non-coding RNA of Populus euphratica (Euphrates poplar), 820 nucleotides long. RefSeq lists it as uncharacterized. The record is from RefSeq and is a predicted model, not a curated record. The transcript is spliced from 3 exons. NCBI's taxonomy places the organism in Eukaryota, Viridiplantae, Streptophyta, Magnoliopsida, Malpighiales, Salicaceae.